This 2268-nucleotide long non-coding RNA is filed under the name Salmo salar (Atlantic salmon). RNAcentral describes it as "lncRNA (ENSSSAG00000107706.1)". Lineage: Eukaryota; Metazoa; Chordata; Actinopteri; Salmoniformes; Salmonidae. The record is from RNAcentral.
UCUUCUCUUAUUUUCUAAGCCCCACCCUAAAACAUUUGAACUCCCAGUCAUUAAUUUGCUAGGCUUCCGCACCCACAGCAAUCAUGAGCAGCUCUGGCCAUUUACCACCUAAAAGAAGGUUAGUGUCAAUUGUGAUCACUUAUGAUAGUGCACGAUAAAUAUAGACUAUAUAUUUUUAAGGGGUGCAUUUGUGAGAUAAUUGUAGAUAUUAUUAAAAUAGUUAGUUCAGCAAAUGUGUUUCCUUAUCUUGAAAGCAGUCUAUGGACAAGGGCAGAUUGCAAUCCACACUUAUAUUUGAUUAACUAGCCAGUUACAACUAAUGCUAAUAAGCAUUUUAGGACCAAAAAAUAAAAGACCUCCCUUUACCCCUUUUAAAUGUCAUGUCCAAAUCAUCUCUUAAAUUGAUUGUCACUCAAUGACUUGGUUUUACAUUAUUUUGCAAUGAUCAUGGCAUGAUUUAAUGGGAUACUUAGGCCUUUUGGCAAUGAGCCCCUUUAUCUACUUCCCCAGUCAGAUGAACUUGUAGAUACAUUUUCUAUGUCUCUGUGUCCAUCUAGUAUGAAGGAAGUUAGUGGUUGUUUCGCGAGCUGGAAGUCUAUGGGUAUCGACUAGCAUUGUAGUCAAUACCCAUGAGAGGUUGACUUGAAAGUAGUGGCAAAUGAGAGGUUAGCUUGAAAGUAUUGCCAACUGUCAUAUGUUAGCAGUGGCUAGUUAAUUGAAACCAAACUGUGGAUUACAGUCAGUUCAUAUUCACAUAUAGUAUUCAAGGAGACCAACAGCUACUUGUCUGGAAUGGAGGAAAAGAAAUGAUGGAAGCUUAAAGUCAUCAGGAACAGCAUUUAUUAGACAGGUUGUAAGGCUUUGGAGGAGUCGCCUGAGGAUGGGAGUUGACGGAAUACAACAUUACGUGAAUAUGUUGCUUCAUAGCAUCUUUUUCUUAGGUCACAUUCAUCAGGCCAGUCUUCUUCCAAAUGCCUUCUUUGAGUCUCGUGAGGGUAGGCUUGUGAUGUACGAUUUAGAAAGAAGAUUUCCACAGGCAUUCCACAAUUACAAGUAUCCACCCCACCAGACUCCAUUUUCCAAUCUUCUGACUUUGGCUGUCAGGAUUUGUCGAUGUGAAGAGGAAGAGGGAAUAAAAAGCUUUCUUCUACAUUUCCUGAAUGCAUUGGACUUGCCCCCCAGAAUAAAAGGCGAAAGUAAUUACACAAACUACUACACUCUGGAGGCCUCUACCAUAGCUUUGUGCUACAACGAAACCCCUGGACUCCGCAGACCAGUGAAGUACUAUGGAGCAUCCCUGUCCUGCAGAGGGGAGAGAGAAAAGAACAUUAUGAUCAAUUGGUCAUGUCUAAAUGUGUGGCAUGACUAUGUGUCUUAUGCAGUGUUGUCAUUCAGACAUGAUGAACAGGGAAACGGUAUCAGAUUCCCUGUCACCGUAAAAUGCAGAGCAUUCUACAGGAAUCCCCAGACCAAUUGUUAUGAAGACCGAAGGCCGUGCAAAAACUGUGGGGAUCUUUUCUCUCUCUCAAACCCUGAGAUGGACAAAAAUGACUUUCCCUACGGAAACUGUGCUGAGACAGAGUGCCUCAGUAACCUUCUAUUAGGUGAUCAUGAUGUCUGCAGCAAUAUGAGUUUUGGACACUACACAAGAGAAAAGGUCAUAGAGAAACUAUACAAGACAAAUGGUCUCAGAAAUAUGGCAGAAAACGCUUUGGAACAUUUAGGUUUCGUUUCACACGGGCAUGAUUUGCCUAGAUAAAUAAAGGUUAAAUAAAAUAAAAUGUGUUUUGUGUCACAGUGGAAACUGUUUCCACAUUUCUGAUGUGACAGGAAACUACAGAAAGGGUGUGACACUGAACUUGUUUGAAUGCAGACCAUUCAGAGAAACCAUAGCUAAAACAAUGGGCAAAUACAGACAGCAUGAUGAUAGAGCUACAAUGAUGUUACUUUAUGAGACAAAUGUAUCUUGUAAAUAUCUUGUAUCCAUCAAUAAAUGAGAAUUCUUAAAAGUUGGUUGGAUGUUUUAGUUUCCUUCCAGUUUGCUGCUAUAACUUGGACCAGAUCGCUCUGGCAAAAUACAUUUUAUCUCAAUGAGAGUAAAUUAAAGUGAAAUAAAACCGGUUUUGGGGCUAACUCAACCAUCUCAACACCAGUAACACCUACUUAGGUGAUGUAUUCCAGCCAUCCUGUAACAGGAUUGUGCCCAGGAGAACUCACUAUUCCAUGUAUUUAUUGUAAGUGGUCAUCUUUACAAGUGAAGAAUGGAGG